UACAGAGGUCUCAAGCGUUGUUCGGAUUCAUUGGGCGUAAAGGGUGCGUAGGUGGCGCUGUAAGUCGGGUGUGAAAUUUCGGAGCUUAACUCCGAAACUGCAUUCGAUACUGCGGUGCUUGAGGACUGGAGAGGAGACUGGAAUUCAUGGUGUAGCAGUGAAAUGCGUAGAGAUCAUGAGGAAGACCAGUGGCGAAGGCGGGUCUCUGGACAGUUCCUGACACUAAGGCACGAAGGCCAGGGGAGCAAACGGG
This 253-nucleotide ribosomal RNA is filed under the name uncultured bacterium. Its description in RNAcentral is "partial 16S ribosomal RNA". It matches the Rfam family "Bacterial small subunit ribosomal RNA", at positions 524 to 776 of the family's 1533-position model. The record is from RNAcentral.